GACGAACGCUGGCGGCGUGCUUAACACAUGCAAGUCGAACGCUGAAGCUCAGCUUUUGUUGGGUGGAUGAGUGGCGAACGGGUGAGUAACACGUGAGUAACCUGCCUCCUUCUUUGGGAUAACGCCCGGAAACGGGUGCUAAUACUGGAUAUUCACUGGUCUUCGCAUGGGGGUUGGUGGAAAGGGUUUUUCUGGUGGGGGAUGGGCUCGCGGCCUAUCAGCUUGUUGGUGGGGUGAUGGCCUACCAAGGCUUUGACGGGUAGCCGGCCUGAGAGGGGGAACGGUCACAUUGGGACUGAGAUACGGCCCAGACUCCUACGGGAGGCAGCAGUGGGGAAUAUUGCACAAUGGGCGCAAGCCUGAUGCAGCGACGCCGCGUGAGGGAUGGAGGCCUUCGGGUUGUGAACCUCUUUCGCUCAUGGUCAAGCCGCAACAAUGGUUGUGGUGAGGGUAGUGGGUAAAGAAGCGCCGGCUAACUACGUG
Molecule: ribosomal RNA, 483 nt
Filed under: uncultured bacterium
Lineage: Bacteria
Description: partial 16S ribosomal RNA
Rfam family: Bacterial small subunit ribosomal RNA
Source: RNAcentral